Molecule: long non-coding RNA, 1724 nt
Organism: Callithrix jacchus (white-tufted-ear marmoset)
Lineage: Eukaryota; Metazoa; Chordata; Mammalia; Primates; Cebidae
Source: RefSeq, a predicted model, not a curated record
CCUCCCGGCCAACUCACAUUGCAAAGUCCACCCUGCUUAGAGAAACCUCACCUAUGACUCACAAAGACAGAACAGCUAUGUUACACUCUCGACAGGACAGCUGUUUCAGGAUGUCAGGAUAGAAUACCAUCAACUGAACAGCCACAGAAGAAAUAUGUUUAAAAAAGAGCAAGUUAUGUGCCAGAACCCAGGGCCACUGCAUCGGCCUCUGGGGAUGCCAUGCUUCAGAGGCAGAAGACAUUGUGUUCUCCAUGUCAGUUCCCAGCCCUGCUGCGGAUGUGUAAGGGCGAGGUGUGUGGCUGAAGGUCGGAUCAUCACCAGGGAAAGGCUGGCUGGUGACCACCUGGCACUCCCACUGGAUGGCAUCACUUUGGUAGGCACCUUCUCAUUAGAAGGUGACCAUCUAUAAACCAGGAAGAGGGCUCUCACCAGAACCCAACCAUGCUGGCAUGCUGAUCUUGGACUUCCAGCUUCUGCAACUGUGAGAAAGAAAUGCUUGUUGUUUAAGUCACCCAGUUUAUGAGAUUCAAUUAUAUCAGCCCAAACUUCCUAAAACAGUAAUCUAGAUAAAAACACUCAGCAAAUGUUGCUACUGUUAUUGUUAUGUAUUCAUUCUUUUAGAGGACUUCCACUUUCAGCAAAGUGUAAUAACAGAAACUAGAUUUACUCCUGCCCCACAUAGCUCAAGCAACCAAAAAGUAGACAAAGUAUGUUAAACAACAGUUUUGAAGCCCUGGACAUGAGGCAACAAAGGACAGUGAUUCCUGAGAGACAGGAAUCAAAUGAUGUGAGCCCUAAGAUUGCCCCAGAUUACUGCCUUGAGAAAGACUCCAGGCUGCAAUACAGAGUGUAGGAAGAGUAGGACCUCAGUGAAGCCCAGUGGACACCCUGAGUCGAGAAAAUGGAACUGAAAGUCAGGGGAGGCUGAGAUAGCCAGCGUUCUCUGGACAGAGUAUUGGGAAGGACAGUUUUGUACAGAGAACUCUGGAGUAUCUCCCUUAAAUAUUUUGCUGGGUACAGAUCAGCAUGCACAUGAGGAAGCUACCUGAGGCCAAACUACCUGAAAAACACCCCAAGAAAGCAGAGGUAGCAGUGCCUGGUGUCCACAAAGAGCCAGGAGUAGUGUCUUUCUCACCAGCCAGACUAGAAAACAUCAUGAUUCAUGGAGAACUGGCUAGAGCCCACAUGAGAUUCUUGCUGAGUAGUUAGGGAUAGAUAGUAAGCCUUAGACUGAUUACCACUCCAGUCCUGCCUAACAAAUCUUGAAAUAGACCUGAAAUCUAUUUCCAAGUCUCUUAACUGAAUCCUACGACAAAGUUCAAGAAUAUGUGCAGGAAUGUGGAAAUAUCCAACAUCCAAAUAAGGUAAGAUUCAGUAUAUCUGUCACCCAGCUAAAACCUACCGGACAUGAAAAAAACAUGGUGAUAUGGGCCAUAAUGAAGAGAAAAAUCAAAACAAACUCAGAAUGGACAGAGUUAGAAUUAGGAGUCAGUAACAUUAAGACAGCGAUUACAAUGUAUUUCAUAUGUUCAAAAAGUGAAGUAGAAAUAUGGAAGAUAUGAAAAAAGAAUCUAAUGUUUAGAAAUCAAAAACUACAAUGUGUGAGAUAAAAAAGACUGAAUGGGAUUAGACAAUAAUGAAAAAAAAUGAGUGAAUGUGAAGACAAAACAGCAACUCUCCAAAAUGAAACAGAAUGAUUUUUUUUUUUUUAAUAAAAAGAACAU